RNAcentral lists this ribosomal RNA (424 nucleotides) under uncultured prokaryote. RNAcentral describes it as "bacterial SSU rRNA". It matches the Rfam family "Bacterial small subunit ribosomal RNA", at positions 355 to 796 of the family's 1533-position model. The record is from RNAcentral.
UGGGGAAUAUUGGACAAUGGGGGCAACCCUGAUCCGGCCAUGCCGCGUGAGUGAUGAAGGCCUUAGGGUUGUAAAGCUCUUUCGCCCGCGAAGAUGAUGACGGUAGCGGGAGAAGAAGCCCCGGCUAACUCCGUGCCAGCAGCCGCGGUAAUACGGAGGGGGCGAGCGUUGUUCGGAAUUACUGGGUGUAAAGGGCGCGUAGGCGGCUUAUCAAGUCAGGGGUGAAAGGCCUGGGCUCAACCUGGGAACUGCCUUUGAAACUGGUAGGCUUGAGUCCGGGAGAGGUGAGCGGAAUUCCCAGUGUAGAGGUGAAAUUCGUAGAUAUUGGGAAGAACACCGGUGGCGAAGGCGGCUCACUGGACCGGCACUGACGCUGAGGCGCGAAAGCGUGGGGAGCAAACAGGAUUAGAUACCCCCGUAGUCC